AGUUGACUAUGAGCCAAUCAACAAAGAGACCAUCCUUUGGCCUGACAGAGCCACAGGAGUCCUAUAAACCUGGGCCUAAUGCCAGGGAAAGGAAGUCAGACAUUGGAAGAGGCCACAUGAAAGCAUGGGCCUCAGCCCUACCACCCCUGGAGCUGAACCUAAAAGGGCAUGAAAGAGGAUGCGAGCCUCAGACAAGAACUCAGCCCCAGCCAACAGCUUGCCUGCAGUCUGAAGCAGGAUCUAGAUGCCUCUUCCAUCCCGGCAGUUCCAUCUUCUGCAGUGAAUAACAAACUAAAGAUUCUACUGACAGUUUUAUAAUCUGCAUACUUGAGGAAAAACUACUUCACAAGAAAAGAAUGCAGAACAAGACUAGUUAAAAUCCAAAGUGUUUUUCUCUCUCAGAACCAAGUGAAAGCCCAUCAGAGAGUCUGAAUACAUAUUAAAAUGUGGGGAAAUGCUGAAAA
Long non-coding RNA from Suricata suricatta (meerkat), 464 nucleotides. RefSeq lists it as uncharacterized. The transcript is spliced from 2 exons. NCBI's taxonomy places the organism in Eukaryota, Metazoa, Chordata, Mammalia, Carnivora, Herpestidae. The record is from RefSeq and is a predicted model, not a curated record.